This 484-nucleotide ribosomal RNA is filed under the name uncultured bacterium. RNAcentral's name for it is "partial 16S ribosomal RNA". It matches the Rfam family "Bacterial small subunit ribosomal RNA", at positions 30 to 507 of the family's 1533-position model. The record is from RNAcentral.
AUUGAACGCUGGCGGCAGGCCUAACACAUGCAAGUCGAGCGGAUGAAGGGAGCUUGCUCCUGGAUUCAGCGGCGGACGGGUGAGUAAUGCCUAGGAAUCUGCCUGGUAGUGGGGGAUAACGUCCAGAAACGGGCGCUAAUACCGCAUACGUCCUGAGGGAGAAAGUGGGGGAUCUUCGGACCUCACGCUAUCAGAUGAGCCUAGGUCGGAUUAGCUAGUUGGUGGGGUAAAGGCCUACCAAGGCGACGAUCCGUAACUGGUCUGAGAGGAUGAUCAGUCACACUGGAACUGAGACACGGUCCAGACUCCUACGAGAGGCAGCAGUGGGGAAUAUUGGACAAUGGGCGAAAGCCUGAUCCAGCCAUGCCGCGUGUGUGAAGAAGGUCUUCGGAUUGUAAAGCACUUUAAGUUGGGAGGAAGGGCAGUAAGUUAAUACCUUGCUGUUUUGACGUUACCAACAGAAUAAGCACCGGCUAACUUCGUG